Molecule: non-coding RNA, 64 nt
Organism: Oryza glaberrima (African rice)
Lineage: Eukaryota; Viridiplantae; Streptophyta; Magnoliopsida; Poales; Poaceae
Source: Rfam
CUGAGCCGUAUGAGGUAGGAAACUCUCAAGUACGGUUCUAGGGGAAGGAACUACCUAUUCCGAC